This 73-nucleotide transfer RNA is filed under the name Daphnia magna. It matches the Rfam family "tRNA". Rfam says of the family: Transfer RNA (tRNA) molecules are approximately 80 nucleotides in length. The record is from Rfam by way of RNAcentral. Lineage: Eukaryota; Metazoa; Arthropoda; Branchiopoda; Diplostraca; Daphniidae.
GUUCUCAUAUUGUAGCGGUUAUCACGUCGGCCUCACACGCUGAAGGUGCUCAGUUUGAUCCUGGGUGAGAACA